RNAcentral lists this unclassified non-coding RNA (1779 nucleotides) under Leishmania donovani. RNAcentral's name for it is "gene:LdHU3.10.0640(CDS-product:Zinc_finger_C3HC4_ type_(RING_finger)_containing_protein_putative)". The record is from RNAcentral. Lineage: Eukaryota; Euglenozoa; Kinetoplastea; Trypanosomatida; Trypanosomatidae.
UGUUUACUGCAUGCACACACACACACAGUGACUUUUUCGCUAUUCUCGAGUACCCAAACGCGAUCUGUCCAUCACGCCCAACCCACCUGCUGACCCACAUAAUACCGCCGCUCCGGCUCUGGGCCUGUUGUCUCUAUUUCGGCCAACUAUCACAACCGCCUAUGCAGCGACUGCGAGAGGACAGCAGCGAUCACCGCCGGCGGAGGCAUGUCAACAACGCUGAAAAUGAAGACCCGCGCAGAAAGCGAGGCAGUGAUAGAAGCAUAGGCGCUGCUAUGGCCUUGGCCUUCAGUGCCGGCGCCUUGGUGUUCGCAGGCGCUAGUGCACUCUACUCUUGGUACACCCAAGAAAAGGCCCAGCGUGACCAGGGCUACUACUGCCUCCCACCGCGAGACGGCGACAUCGCAGUCGAAACGGGAGCGGCAGUGGCGUUCAAGUCGUCUUUCCUUGCUGCCUCUGCCGCCGCUGACGGGGCGAGGGAAACAGCGGCAAAGGAUGCGCCGUCGCACAGCCCAGACGCACUCUCUGAGGGAUGCGGUGUGGCACUCUCCGGCGAGGCGGACGGCGGCCACCCAUGUGUCUGCUGCCUCGAGCGCCACCAGUCCUUCAUGUUUGUGCAAUGCCGCCACAUCUGCCUCUGUGAACCGUGUCUUAUCCAGCUUGGCCGGGCCUACGAGGACAACAAGCUGCGUGCCCACUUCGACGGGCCAGUGCGGAUGCCGUGCCCUGUUUGUCGGACCGUCGGUUACAUUGUGAAGACAUAUGCUUCGUAGUUGCCCGCGCGUGCGUGAGGUGUUUGUGCCCCCCCCCCCAGAAAAAAAAAACGAAAUGGCACGAUGCGGCACACGCGGGCACAUGGUCACUGCCUGAUACGUUUUUUUUUUUCGUUGAUGUUGUAUGUUGCGGUGAUGCUCGCGUUGCUUGUCAGUCACUCGGUGUCUUGCUCUCCCUUCUCUCUCCGUGUGUCUUUACGACAUUUUCUUUGUUAUGGCGCGUGGUGGUGGCGGUGGCCGCGUUGCCUUGUUGGUUCUCCAUGCGCUUUUCUGCACUGCAUUUUUUGUGUGGUUCUUCGUUGCUGCUGCUGCUGCCGCUGUGUGAUGCCCUUGUCCGCGCGGUCGCCUCCUGUGUAUUUCCCCUUCUUUCUUUGGCUUUCAUUCGGGGUCACUGUCACUGGGACGCACACCACGCCACCCUUCUCGCGACUCCACGCACCCUAGUGCCAUUCCCUCAGCACACGCAUGCUCUGUGCUAUUUCCUUGUGUGUAGGGGGGUGCGUUUUCUUUUGCCCUCGUUCGUCAGUGUCCUUCUCUUCAUUUUCUUUGGCGUCUUUGGUGCUCUUGCUCCCCCGCCCUCCUCCGGCCCCGUAUUUGUGUGUGUGUGUGUGUGUGUGUGUUGUCUUGCUAGUCUGCUUCUUGUGCGCCAUGACGCUUGGCUCCUCUAUGAGGCCUCGACCAUGCCUUGUCAUGGAAGGCGUGGGUGGUCAUACCUUGGCGGAGGGCAGCAGCUGGGGGUGAGCGUGGCAGAGCACAUGAAUAUAUAUAUAUGUAUAUACAUAUACACAUAUAUGCAUGUAUAUAUAUAUAUAUAUAUGUAUGUAUAUAUGUAUAUGCAUAUAUGUGUAUAUGUAUGUGACGAAGCUGGUGCCGCUUUACUUGACGCGACGCCUCGUGCUUUCCAUGCUCUUCUCUGUCGUGCCUGCACCUGGACCCUUGGUGGGGCUCCGCAGCGAUGGGGAGGAUGCGAAACAACGGAGGAAUGUACGCCGCAGACGCAUACUUC